CCAGCUAUAGUAAUUAGAUACAAAUGUAUCAAACCAAAUAUUAUAUUUCUACCGACGGUCCCUAAAGCAAGUGGCAAAGGGUUUGAUGGUUGGUACCCGAGAUCCAAAUUCGAAUUCUAGUUGAUUCACAUUUCCAGCUAAGUUUAUUUCUAAAUGAAAUAAACGAAGCAGGUAGCGUGCUAUCUAUCUCUCAAAUAUAUAUAUAUAUAUAUAUAUAUAUAUAUAUAU
This 228-nucleotide long non-coding RNA is filed under the name Ananas comosus (pineapple). RNAcentral describes it as "long non-coding RNA (ACOM_LNC038330)". Lineage: Eukaryota; Viridiplantae; Streptophyta; Magnoliopsida; Poales; Bromeliaceae. The record is from RNAcentral.